Molecule: RNA transcript, 3265 nt
Organism: Setaria italica (foxtail millet)
Lineage: Eukaryota; Viridiplantae; Streptophyta; Magnoliopsida; Poales; Poaceae
Gene name: BTB/POZ domain-containing protein FBL11
Exons: 19
Source: RefSeq, a predicted model, not a curated record
GGAGAAUUUGCUGAAGCAAUCAGCCCAGAACCGAGCGAACACCACGGGCCAUGUCCUUCGCCGGCGACGGGGAAGACGCCGCCGUCGCCGGCGACCCGGUGGUUCUUGAGAUCACUGACACAUCCUCCUCCGCCGAAUCCGUUCCUCCCUCCUCCCCUCGCCCUCUGCCGGUCGCCGUCUCCGACCUCUCGCGCUUCGACACGCUUCCGUCCCCAACCGUCGCCGUUCGCGCCGACCGGCACAGGCUAAUCGAGAGCUCGUCCUACUUCCGCGCGCUCCUCGGCGGCAGCUUCAGUGAAUCGGGCAGAGAAUAUGUGCAGCUCGGCUGCAAUUUGGAGGCUGCCGUGCAAGUGCUACGCUAUCUGUUUGAGCCUUCCGAGAGCUGUACCAUCACGCACGGCAAUUUCCUCCUGCUGUUGGAGGGAGCUUUGUUUCUUGCUGUUGAGAGCCUUCUAGUGGAGUGUGAAAGGUGGUUCCGCACCAUGGGCUCUCGAACUUCUUCGGCGCUAGUUCCACUGGAUUUCGUUAUUGAAGUCUGGUACUUUGCUCAAGAGCAUGGUGUUACUUUUGUUCAAGACAUAUGCCCAGAAUAUCUAGCUCAGAAUUUUGCAUUUGUUAUCUCAAGGAAGUCGUUUAAUAAAAUACCUUAUGAUUUGUUAUGUUCAAGCAUUGAAUGUCCACAUCUGACGGUCGAUAGUGAAAAACAAUUGUGUGAAGCAAUUUUAUAUUGGGUUUCAGAAAAUAUGGAACCCUGUGACCGGCCAAAUUCCAACUCAGUAGAUGGCCACCUCUUCCUUCUUAGCAAGGUGAAGAUAUGCCUUUUACCAUUAGAACUUGCGACAGGAAUAAAGAGGCAUUGGUUUGACUUUGGAAACAAUAUCGUUUGUACAAUUCUUAAUCUUCUCAAGGACAGUUUGAAAACUCUAUUGGAUGCCAUUGCUGGCGGUAAUUUGAAGGGAUAUGGCAUUCGAAUUACAGAAUAUUCAAAGAACAUAGUGCUUUCAGGAUGUCCACAAAUAACUACAGCAUUCUUGUACAUAUCUGUUCUCCCUACUGAUCUGGAUGUUUCAUUUAAGAGAAGGAUAGUAAGUUCAUACACCCAGGUUGAUCAUCAAAGCUUCAUUCUGUAUGAUGAACUGGAGAAGGCUGCUAAAACCUUAUUAUUUAGGAAUGUACGCAUGGUGGAUCUUUCAAAAUGUCCAAAUGUUCAUUUCGGUGCAGCAAUUGACUGGUUGAAGUUGGCUUUUCCGGAACUAAGGAUAUUCAGAGCUUUACAUUGUUUGUCAUUUCACUUUGAUGAUUUGAUAUAUCUGUUACUGAGAUGUCCAUGGAUUGAUGAAAUUGAUAUGACUAUUGAUACCAGCACCAUAACACCCAACCAAUCAAUAGUUUCUUUCAGUUCUGAAGUCUUAGGCAAAGUGAAGCAAAAUCGAAGAAGAUAUUACAUACCAUGUCCACCAUAUGACAGGCAACUGAAUUCAGUUUUCUCAAAUGUGUCAAGAUUAACAUUAGAAGGCAGAAAUGAUAUUGAUGAUGUGGACUUGGUGAAGAUAUCUGCGCUGAAAAAUUCUCUCUCUUACAUAAACAUUAGAAACUGCACCAUGUUGACAGAUGAUGGCAUUUCAAACUUUCUGAUGAAGUGUACAAAGAUCCAUUCAAUAGUUCUUUCUUAUACUUCGUUUGGAAACCGAUCGAUUCAAACGCUAUGCACUACAAAUCCUGACCACAAUGAUGGACAUGCUCAUGUUAUGGCAUUUAAUAUGCAAGAGUUACAUCUGGGUGGCUGCAAAGGUAUUGAUGCUGCUGCUUUGUCCCAGCUAAUGAGCAUUAUAAAUAUCACGAAAUUUCUGUGCUUAAGGGAAACAUCACUUACAGAUGGUGCACUCUGCAAGUUUGUUGGCUCUAGUCUUGAGUAUCUUGAUGUUUCAGAGACCAUGGUUUCUAUGGUAUCGUUAGCACCAGUUAUACGAAGAAAUUGUAAUUUGAACUGUCUGAAAACAGCUGGAUGCCGUAAUCUUCUGUUUGAACGUGAUGAAGUAGAACAAAUCAGUGGUAACAAGUAUGGAAAUUUUCUACAGGAGAUAGGAAGUACUUGUUGUUUGGAGGAUGUUGAAAUGGGUUGGGGAUUUUGCCCUAUUCAAAUCAAAGACCUUAUUCCUUCUUUUAGUAAAGUAAGGAAGAUGACAGUUGGCCUCGGCACAACAUUAGCGGAGAAUGUCCUGCAUGCUCUACCUGUAAUUUGCCCAUUUCUCGAGUCUCUGACACUGAGGUUUCAGGUGAUAUCUGACAGUGUUGUUAGAAAUCUAUUGGAAUCGGCAACAAAUCUUCAGGUGCUUUGCCUGCACCAUUGUAUUGGCAGUUUAACUUCAUUUAGCUUUCAAACAAAGGCACCGACAUUAAGGGUACUACGGCUUCAGUGGGUUACUCCAUGGAUUACCAAUGAUGAUUUGAAAAUCCUUACAGAUAAUUGUAACUUAGUUGAACUUUCACUGUCUGGUUGCAAACUCCUUGACUCCAGCUCUCAAGAGAUAAUCUCAUCUGGGUGGCCAAACCUGGUGCUUUUACACCUUGAGGACUGUGGUCAAGUAACGGUUCAAGGGGUUUCUUCUAUUUUAAACUGUAAAGCUUUGGAAGACGUCCUACUACGACACACGGUGCGUAUGAAGAAUGUCUUAGUCAGGUUAUUGAGAUAUAUUUCUGGUAAAUCCUAAAGCACAACUAAAAUCGUACUUGAGGAUGGGUGUGGUUGCUGAUAUGGACGUGGUCGAAACAAAGCUUUCGAAAUGAUGUGUGAACUUGCAUUUUAAAAAAAUAUUUUCAAGAUGGUAGAGGCAUCGGAAGGAGCAUCAUAGACGAUGCUAUCAGAGAGUUACCACUACUACGGAAGCUGGCUUUGGAUCUUUGUGAUGCUUGUGAAGAAGGUUAUGAGAGCCCAAAUAACGCGGAGGGGAAGAUGAUUAGAGCCGUAAGAAUGAGCAGGUGCAAGACGCUGAGGGGGUCUUGUUUGGAGCUCCCCAGAGGUAGUGGAGGGGCCUCAAAGCCGGUGCACAAGGACACCGUAGUGCUGGAAUGGAGCAGCACGAGGCUGACAACCACCAUAGUCAAAGAAAGAGUGUGACAAGCUGCCAUCUUCAGAGUAGUGUGUUUGUAUCAAAUGAAUAUGAUCUUUGGACAAGUUAGUCCUGGGACCAAACUGUGAUGAUGUUGCUGUUGUACCCUAGCAUUGUCAAACUUUAAUCCACGGAAAAAAAAAAAUGGGACUAAA